GAGUUUGAUCAUGGCUCAGGAUGAACGCUGGCGGCGUGCUUAACACAUGCAAGUCGAACGAACCUUCGGGUUAGUGGCGGACGGGUGAGUAACGCGUGGGAAUCUGCCCUCAGGAGGGGGAUAACGGUUGGAAACGACCGCUAAUACCCCAUAUGCCGAGAGGUGAAAUGAAUUUCGCCUGAGGAUGAGCCCGCGUCUGAUUAGCUUGUUGGUGAGGUAAAGGCUCACCAAGGCUUCGAUCAGUAGCUGGUCUGAGAGGAUGAUCAGCCACACUGGGACUGAGACACGGCCCAGACUCCUACGGGAGGCAGCAGUGGGGAAUUUUCCGCAAUGGACGAAAGUCUGACGGAGCAACGCCGCGUGAGGGACGAAGGCCUCUGGGCUGUAAACCUCUUUUCUCAAGGAAGAAGAUAUGACGGUACUUGAGGAAUAAGCCACGGCUAAUUCCGUGCCAGCAGCCGCGGUAAUACGGGAGUGGCAAGCGUUAUCCGGAAUUAUUGGGCGUAAAGCGUCCGCAGGCGGCUUUUCAAGUCUGCUGUUAAAACGUGGAGCUUAACUCCAUCAUGGCAGUGGAAACUGAUUGGCUUGAGUAUGGUAGGGGUAGAGGGAAUUCCCGGUGUAGCGGUGAAAUGCGUAGAUAUCGGGAAGAACACCAGUGGCGAAGGCGCUCUACUGGGCCAUAACUGACGCUCAUGGACGAAAGCCAGGGGAGCGAAAGGGAUUAGAUACCCCUGUAGUCCUGGCCGUAAACGAUGAACACUAGGUGUCGGGGGAAUCGACCCCUUCGGUGUCGUAGCUAACGCGUUAAGUGUUCCGCCUGGGGAGUACGCACGCAAGUGUGAAACUCAAAGGAAUUGACGGGGGCCCGCACAAGCGGUGGAGUAUGUGGUUUAAUUCGAUGCAACGCGAAGAACCUUACCAGGGCUUGACAUCCUGCGAACCUUUAAGAAAUUAGAGGGUGCCUUCGGGAACGCAGUGACAGGUGGUGCAUGGCUGUCGUCAGCUCGUGUCGUGAGAUGUUGGGUUAAGUCCCGCAACGAGCGCAACCCACGUUUUUAGUUGCCAGCAUUUAGUUGGGCACUCUAGAAAGACCGCCGGUGAUAAACCGGAGGAAGGUGUGGAUGACGUCAAGUCAUCAUGCCCCUUACGUCCUGGGCUACACACGUACUACAAUGCUACGGACAAAGGGCAGCAAACUCGCGAGAGCUAGCAAAUCCCAUAAACCGUGGCUCAGUUCAGAUCGUAGGCUGCAACUCGCCUACGUGAAGUAGGAAUCGCUAGUAAUCGCAGGUCAGCAUACUGCGGUGAAUACGUUCCCGGGCCUUGUACACACCGCCCGUCAAACCAUGGAAGUUGGCCACGCCCGAAGUCGUUACUUUAACCCUUGUGGAGAAGGACGCCGAAGGUGGGGCUGAUGACUGGGGUGAAGUCGUAACAAGGUAACC
This 1445-nucleotide ribosomal RNA is filed under the name uncultured marine cyanobacterium. Its description in RNAcentral is "bacterial SSU rRNA". It matches the Rfam family "Bacterial small subunit ribosomal RNA". Lineage: Bacteria; Bacillati; Cyanobacteriota. The record is from RNAcentral.